UGGGGAAUAUUGGACACUGGGCGAAAGCCUGAUCCAGCCAUGCCGCGUGUGUGAAGAAGGUCUUCGGAUUGUAAAGCACUUUAAGUGGGGAGGAAGGGCAGUAAGCGAAUACCUUGCUGUUUUGACGUUACCGACAGAAUAAGCACCGGCUAACUCUGUGCCAGCAGCCUCGGUAAUACAGAGGGUGCAAGCGUUAAUCGGAAUUACUGGGCGUAAAGCGCGCGUAGGUGGUUCGUUAAGUUGAAUGUGAAAGCCCCGGGCUCAACCUGGGAACUGCAUCCAAAACUGGCGAGCUAGAGUAGGGCAGAGGGUGGUGGAAUUUCCUGUGUAGCGGUGAAAUGCGUCGAUAUAGGAAGGAACAACAGUGGCGAAGGCGACCACCUGGGCUCAUACUGACGCUGAGGUGCGAAAGCGUGGGGAGCAAACAGG
Molecule: ribosomal RNA, 429 nt
Filed under: Pseudomonadota bacterium
Lineage: Bacteria; Pseudomonadati; Pseudomonadota
Description: Proteobacteria bacterium partial 16S ribosomal RNA
Rfam family: Bacterial small subunit ribosomal RNA
Source: RNAcentral